UACGUAGGGAGCGAGCGUUACCCGGAAUUAUUGGGCGUAAGGCGCGCGCAGGCGGUCUUUUAAGUCUGAUGUGAAAGCCCACGGCUCAACCGUGGAGGGUCAUUGGAAACUGGGGAACUUGAGUGCAGAAGAGGAGAGUGGAAUUCCACGUGUAGCGGUGAAAUGCGUAGAGAUGUGGAGGAACACCAGUGGCGAAGGCGACUCUCUGGUCUGUAACUGACGCUGAGGAGCGAAAGCGUGGGGAGCGAACAGG
This 253-nucleotide unclassified non-coding RNA is filed under the name uncultured Bacillaceae bacterium. Its description in RNAcentral is "contains 16S-23S intergenic spacer region". It matches the Rfam family "Bacterial small subunit ribosomal RNA", at positions 524 to 776 of the family's 1533-position model. The record is from RNAcentral. Lineage: Bacteria; Bacillati; Bacillota; Bacilli; Caryophanales; Bacillaceae.